ACGGGUGAGUAAUGUCUGGGAAACUGCCUGAUGGAGGGGGAUAACUACUGGAAACGGUAGCUAAUACCGCAUAACGUCGCAAGACCAAAGAGGGGGACCUUCGGGCCUCUUGCCAUCAGAUGUGCCCAGAUGGGAUUAGCUAGUAGGUGGGGUAACGGCUCACCUAGGCGACGAUCCCUAGCUGGUCUGAGAGGAUGACCAGCCACACUGGAACUGAGACACGGUCCAGACUCCUACGGGAGGCAGCAGUGGGGAAUAUUGCACAAUGGGCGCAAGCCUGAUGCAGCCAUGCCGCGUGUAUGAAGAAGGCCUUCGGGUUGUAAAGUACUUUCAGCGGGGAGGAAGGUGUUGCGGUUAAUAACCGCAGCAAUUGACGUUACCCGCAGAAGAAGCACCGGCUAACUCCGUGCCAGCAGCCGCGGUAAUACGGAGGGUGCAAGCGUUAAUCGGAAUUACUGGGCGUAAAGCGCACGCAGGCGGUCUGUCAAGUCGGAUGUGAAAUCCCCGGGCUCAACCUGGGAACUGCAUUCGAAACUGGCAGGCCAGAGUCUUGUAGAGGGGGGUAGAAUUCCAGGUGUAGC
Molecule: ribosomal RNA, 581 nt
Filed under: uncultured bacterium
Lineage: Bacteria
Description: bacterial SSU rRNA
Rfam family: Bacterial small subunit ribosomal RNA
Source: RNAcentral